CCUACGGGGCGCUGCAGUGGGGAAUAUUGGACAAUGGGCGAAAGCCUGAUCCAGCCAUGCCGCGUGUGUGAAGAAGGCCUUCGGGUUGUAAAGCACUUUCAGUGGGGAAGAAAGCCUUGGGGCUAAUACCCUCGAGGAAGGACAUCACCCACAGAAGAAGCACCGGCUAACUCCGUGCCAGCAGCUGCGGUAAUACGGAGGGUGCGAGCGUUAAUCGGAAUUACUGGGCGUAAAGCGCGCGUAGGCGGUCUGAUAAGCCGGUUGUGAAAGCCCCGGGCUCAACCUGGGAACGGCAUCCGGAACUGUCAGGCUAGAGUGCAGGAGAGGAAGGUAGAAUUCCCGGUGUAGCGGUGAAAUGCGUAGAGAUCGGGAGGAAUACCAGUGGCGAAGGCGGCCUUCUGGACUGACACUGACGCUGAGGUGCGAAAGCGUGGGUAGCAAACAGGAUUAGAUACCCCGGUAGUC
RNAcentral lists this ribosomal RNA (465 nucleotides) under Vreelandella stevensii. Its description in RNAcentral is "partial 16S ribosomal RNA". It matches the Rfam family "Bacterial small subunit ribosomal RNA", at positions 338 to 795 of the family's 1533-position model. The record is from RNAcentral. Lineage: Bacteria; Pseudomonadati; Pseudomonadota; Gammaproteobacteria; Oceanospirillales; Halomonadaceae.